AAAAAAUUAAAACCCAAACGACUCUUCGUUUAGCCCCGAACUCAAACUGGCCGCUUAAGCCAGUUUAGUUUGGACUUCCUACACCAGUUCGCCGAUGGACUGGGCGGGGUCAAACCCUCAGUGGGAUCAUCUACAUCGGACCGCUUACUGGAAUGCUGCCGGCUGGUAAGUUAAAUUAGGUGGAUCGCGGAUGCUGAAGAAUGUCGCUUUUCGUCAGUAGCCGUUAAAUACAAAGAAGACGACUACACACGUAGAACUGGUAGUGGAGGAUUUGCGGACGCGGGUUCAAUUCCCGCCGGCUCCACCA
Molecule: transfer-messenger RNA, 307 nt
Filed under: Limnobacter sp.
Lineage: Bacteria; Pseudomonadati; Pseudomonadota; Betaproteobacteria; Burkholderiales; Burkholderiaceae
Description: partial transfer-messenger RNA
Rfam family: transfer-messenger RNA
About the family: Bacterial tmRNA, also known as 10Sa RNA or SsrA, is named for its dual tRNA and mRNA-like properties. Its role is to liberate the mRNA from a stalled ribosome. To accomplish this part of the tmRNA is used as a reading frame that ends in a translation stop signal.
Source: RNAcentral